This 497-nucleotide ribosomal RNA is filed under the name uncultured bacterium. Its description in RNAcentral is "partial 16S ribosomal RNA". It matches the Rfam family "Bacterial small subunit ribosomal RNA", at positions 28 to 507 of the family's 1533-position model. The record is from RNAcentral.
GAUGAACGCUGGCGGCGUGCCUAAUACAUGCAAGUCGAGCGAACAGACGAGGAGCUUGCUCCUUUGACGUUAGCGGCGGACGGGUGAGUAACACGUAGGUAACCUACCUAUAAGACUGGGAUAACUUCGGGAAACCGGAGCUAAUACCGGAUAAUAUUUCGAACCGCAUGGUUCGAUAGUGAAAGAUGGCUUUGCUAUCACUUAUAGAUGGACCUGCGCCGUAUUAGCUAGUUGGUAAGGUAACGGCUUACCAAGGCAACGAUACGUAGCCGACCUGAGAGGGUGAUCGGCCACACUGGAACUGAGACUCGGUCCAGACUCCUACGGGAGGCAGCAGUAGGGAAUCUUCCGCAAUGGGCGAAAGCCUGACGGAGCAACGCCGCGUGAGUGAUGAAGGUCUUCGGAUCGUAAAACUCUGUUAUUAGGGAAGAACAAACGUGUAAGUAACUGUGCACGUCUUGACGGUACCUAAUCAGAAAGCCACGGCUAACUACGUG